This 484-nucleotide ribosomal RNA is filed under the name uncultured bacterium. Its description in RNAcentral is "partial 16S ribosomal RNA". It matches the Rfam family "Bacterial small subunit ribosomal RNA", at positions 28 to 523 of the family's 1533-position model. The record is from RNAcentral.
GACGAACGCUGGCGGCGUGCUUAACACAUGCAAGUCGAACGAUAGAGCCGGAGCUUGCUCUGGUGAAUUAGUGGCGAACGGGUGAGUAACACGUGAGUAACCUGCCCUUGACUCUGGGAUAACUGCGGGAAACUGUAGCUAAUACCGGAUACGACCCUCGGAGGCAUCUCCUGGGGGUGGAAAGAAUUUCGGUCAAGGAUGGACUCGCGGCCUAUCAGCGAGUUGGUGAGGUAAAGGCUCACCAAGGCGACGACGGGUAGCCGGCCUGAGAGGGUGACCGGCCACACUGGGACUGAGACACGGCCCAGACUCCUACGGGAGGCAGCAGUGGGGAAUAUUGCACAAUGGGCGCAAGCCUGAUGCAGCAACGCCGCGUGAGGGAUGACGGCCUUCGGGUUGUAAACCUCUUUUAGCAGGGAAGAAGCGAAAGUGACGGUACCUGCAGAAAAAGCACCGGCUAACUACGUGCCAGCAGCCGCAGUAA